RNAcentral lists this ribosomal RNA (175 nucleotides) under uncultured bacterium. RNAcentral describes it as "partial 16S ribosomal RNA". It matches the Rfam family "Bacterial small subunit ribosomal RNA", at positions 337 to 524 of the family's 1533-position model. The record is from RNAcentral.
UCCUACGGGAGGCAGCAGUAGGGAAUAUUGCGCAAUGGGCGAAAGCCUGACGCAGCAACGCCGCGUGCGGGAUGAAGGCCUUCGGGUUGUAAACCGCUUUCAGCAGGGAAGAAGCGAAAGUGACGGUACCUGCAGAAGAAGCACCGGCUAACUACGUGCCAGCAGCCGCGGUAAU